RNAcentral lists this ribosomal RNA (698 nucleotides) under Mucor plasmaticus. RNAcentral describes it as "eukaryotic LSU rRNA". It matches the Rfam family "Eukaryotic large subunit ribosomal RNA", at positions 50 to 648 of the family's 3401-position model. The record is from RNAcentral. Lineage: Eukaryota; Fungi; Mucoromycota; Mucoromycetes; Mucorales; Mucoraceae.
GCGGAGGAAAAGAAAAUAACAAUGAUUUCCCUAGUAACGGCGAGUGAAGAGGAAAGAGCUCAAAGUUGGAACCUGUUUGGCUUAGCUAAACCGGAUUGUAAACUGUAGAAGUGUUUUCCAGACACGCCUGGUAAAAAAGUCCUUUGGAACAGGGCAUCAUAGAGGGUGAGAAUCCCGUCUUUGGCCAGAGCUGUUGUCUUUUGCGAUACAUUUUCAAAGAGUCAGGUUGUUUGGGAAUGCAGCCUAAAUUGGGUGGUAAAUCUCACCUAAAGCUAAAUAUUUGCGAGAGACCGAUAGCGAACAAGUACCGUGAGGGAAAGAUGAAAAGAACUUUGAAAAGAGAGUUAAACAGUAUGUGAAAUUGUUAAAAGGGAACCGUUUGGAGCCAGACUGGCUUGACUGUAAUCAAUCUAAGCUUCGGCUUGGAUGCACUUGCGGUCUUUGCCUGCCAACGACAAUUUUUUUUGGGGGAAAAAACUAGAUGGAAUGUAGCCCUUCGGGGUGUUAUAGACUUUUAGAAAAUACCCUGAAUUGGAUUGAGGUACGCAGUGAAUGCCUUCAUUGGCAAGAUUGCUAGGCGCUUUUGACUUUGUGUAUUAGAAUUUCUGCUUCGGGUGGUGCUAGUAUUCUUUAAAGGAGAAACUCGCUUGGUAUAUUUUUUAUUCGCUUAGGUUGUUGGCUUAAUGACUCUAAAUGAC